This 468-nucleotide ribosomal RNA is filed under the name uncultured bacterium. Its description in RNAcentral is "partial 16S ribosomal RNA". It matches the Rfam family "Bacterial small subunit ribosomal RNA", at positions 28 to 507 of the family's 1533-position model. The record is from RNAcentral.
GACGAACGCUGGCGGCGUGCUUAACACAUGCAAGUCGAACGGAAAGGCCCUGCUUUUGUGGGGUGCUCGAGUGGCGAACGGGUGAGUAACACGUGAGUAACCUGCCCUUGACUUUGGGAUAACUUCAGGAAACUGGGGCUAAUACCGGAUAGGAGCUCCUGCUGCAUGGUGGGGGUUGGAAAGUUUCGGCGGUUGGGGAUGGACUCGCGGCUUAUCAGCUUGUUGGUGGGGUAGUGGCUUACCAAGGCUUUGACGGGUAGCCGGCCUGAGAGGGUGACCGGCAACAUGGGGCCGGAGGUAGGGCCCGGCCUCCACGGGGGGGCAGCGGGGGGGAUUUUUGCAAAGGGGGCGGAGGCCUAAUACAGACCCCCCGGGUGGGGAAGGACGCCUUUGGGUUUUAAACCCGCUUCCCCCUGGGACGAACGGGGAGUGACGUUAUGGGAAAAGAAACCCCCGCCUAACUCCGUC